GAAGUUGGAAUCGCUAGUAAUCGCGGAUCAGCAUGCCGCGGUGAAUACGUUCCCGGGCCUUGUACACACCGCCCGUCACACCAUGAGAGUCGGGAACACCCGAAGUCCGUAGCCUGACCGCAAGGGGGGCGCGGCCGAAGGUGGGUUCGAUAAUUGGGGUGAAGUCGUAACAAGGUAGC
Molecule: ribosomal RNA, 179 nt
Filed under: uncultured bacterium
Lineage: Bacteria
Description: partial 16S ribosomal RNA
Rfam family: Bacterial small subunit ribosomal RNA
Source: RNAcentral